RNAcentral lists this transfer RNA (73 nucleotides) under Gemmatimonadaceae bacterium. RNAcentral's name for it is "tRNA-Thr". It matches the Rfam family "tRNA". Rfam says of the family: Transfer RNA (tRNA) molecules are approximately 80 nucleotides in length. Their secondary structure includes four short double-helical elements and three loops (D, anti-codon, and T loops). Lineage: Bacteria; Pseudomonadati; Gemmatimonadota; Gemmatimonadia; Gemmatimonadales; Gemmatimonadaceae. RNAcentral also lists the same sequence under 2 other names. The record is from RNAcentral.
GGACGCGUAGCUCAGUUGGUAGAGCACACCCUUGGUAAGGGUGAGGUCAUCGGUUCAAUCCCGAUCGCGUCCU